Molecule: signal recognition particle RNA, 96 nt
Filed under: Microcystis aeruginosa EAWAG127a
Lineage: Bacteria; Bacillati; Cyanobacteriota; Cyanophyceae; Chroococcales; Microcystaceae
Description: signal recognition particle sRNA small type
Rfam family: Bacterial small signal recognition particle RNA
About the family: The signal recognition particle (SRP) is a universally conserved ribonucleoprotein involved in the co-translational targeting of proteins to membranes. Archaeal SRP consists of a 7S RNA and homologues of the eukaryotic SRP19 and SRP54 proteins.
Source: RNAcentral
GACUCGGACUCAUGCGAUCGCAACGCUUAACCUUGUCAGGACCGGAAGGUAGCAGCAAUACGGGAUGCUUGUGACUGGCGUGAUAUCCGGGUCUUU